This 483-nucleotide ribosomal RNA is filed under the name uncultured bacterium. RNAcentral describes it as "partial 16S ribosomal RNA". It matches the Rfam family "Bacterial small subunit ribosomal RNA", at positions 30 to 507 of the family's 1533-position model. The record is from RNAcentral.
AUUGAACGCUGGCGGCAGGCCUAACACAUGCAAGUCGAGCGGCUGCGGGAGCUUGCUCCUGGAUUCAGCGGCGGAAGGGGGAGUAAUGCCUAGGAAUCUGCCUGGUAGGGGGGGAUAACGUCCGGAAACGGGCGCUAAUACCGCAUACGUCCUGAGGGAGGAAGUGGGGGAUCUUCGGACCUCACGCUAUCAGAUGAGCCUAGGUCGGAUUAGCUAGUUGGUGGGGUAAAGGCCUACCAAGGCGACGAUCCGUAACUGGUCUGAGAGGAUGAUCAGUCACACUGGAACUGAGACACGGUCCAGACUCCUACGGGAGGCAGCAGUGGGGAAUAUUGGACAAUGGGCGCAAGCCUGAUCCAGCCAUGCCGCGUGUGUGAAGAAGGUCUUCGGAUUGUAAAGCACUUUAAGUUGGGAGGAAGGGCAGUAAGUUAAUACCGUGCUGUUUUGACGUUACCAACAGAAUAAGCACCGGCUAACUUCGUG